UUAUUUUUUAUUUCGAUCAGGUCAUAAUUCGAAUUUCCUUG
Molecule: non-coding RNA, 41 nt
Filed under: Plasmodium falciparum 3D7
Lineage: Eukaryota; Apicomplexa; Aconoidasida; Haemosporida; Plasmodiidae
Source: RNAcentral